GUGACUGGUGGCGGCAGCCACCAACGUUUUUCAGAACUUGCGCUUGCUUUGCACUCGAUUCUAAGCCGCAAGCGGUUUUUUGGACUACAAAAACCGGAAAAAAGUGCGACUUCGAUUCGAGUAAAUACGGAUUCCGCCAUAAUUAAAGUGAAUUAGGAUGUUAGUGAGAUGACAUUGUGCAAACUAUGCUUCGUUUUGCCAAAGGAAGUAAAUUUUAAUACAGAAAUGAGAAAUGUAGCUGUUACUUGAAAUUCAUCAUUUCUGAGUGAGUGUUUUAGAAGAGACAGCAAGUUUUAGUUGCUAAAAAUAUAAUGAUGGGGCUGGACCAAUAACCAUAUCGAAAAACAUGCAAUUGUACCGUGUUUUGAGAAGGCUGCUACAGGAACAUUACACAACCAAGAAUGAAACAAAUUGUGCCUACAAAGAGAUGGUUGCAAAAUUUGUAGACAGUAUUCCAGCUGUGGACCAUAGUGUUGAUAUAAAAAUUAAGCAACAAAAUUGUAAGUUUCAGAAAAAAAAUUCUCCAUUUGUGUGGCCA
This is a long non-coding RNA of Schistocerca gregaria, 538 nucleotides long. RefSeq lists it as uncharacterized. The transcript has 2 exons. NCBI's taxonomy places the organism in Eukaryota, Metazoa, Arthropoda, Insecta, Orthoptera, Acrididae. The record is from RefSeq and is a predicted model, not a curated record.